This 351-nucleotide ribosomal RNA is filed under the name Ceriodaphnia sp. JRdW-2005. RNAcentral's name for it is "partial 16S ribosomal RNA". It matches the Rfam family "Bacterial large subunit ribosomal RNA", at positions 1919 to 2597 of the family's 2925-position model. The record is from RNAcentral. Lineage: Eukaryota; Metazoa; Arthropoda; Branchiopoda; Diplostraca; Daphniidae.
GCCUGCUAGCCGCAGUAUUUUGACUGUGCUAAGGUAGCAUAAUCAUUAGUCUUUUAAUUGAAGGCUGGUAUGAAUGGUGAGACGAGAAAAAAUCUGUCUUUGAAUUUUAUUUUUAAGUGAAAAAGCUUAAAUUUAUUUGGAGGACGAUCAGACCCUUUGGAGCUUUUUUGUUGGGGCGACAACUUAAGAUCCUUGUGGGAGAGAUUUAAAGACUAAGUUACCCUAGGGAUAACAGCGUAAUCUUCUUAGAGAGUUCUUAUCGAUAAGAAGGUUUGCGACCUCGAUGUUGGAUUAAGAAAUUAGCAGGGUGUAGAAGCUCUGCUGGAAAGUCUGUUCGACUUUUAAUAUCUU